CCAGGGCGGAAGUGGAGGAGCGGCCGGAAGUAGUCCGAAUCCCCGUCAGACUGACCGGCCGGCAGGCUUUGACAGGAGCCGGAGCUGCGGAAAGAAGUUGGUGGCAAUGGAGUUGGGCGAGCUGCUUUAUAACAAGUCGGAGUACAUCGAGACGGCAUCUGGAAACAAAGUUAGUCGCCAGUCUGUGUUGUGUGGAAGUCAGAACAUCGUUCUCAAUGGCAAGACCAUUGUGAUGAACGACUGUAUUAUCCGAGGGGAUCUGGCAAAUGUGAGAGUUGGACGUCAUUGUGUUGUGAAAAGCCGGAGUGUCAUAAGGCCACCUUUCAAGAAAUUCAGCAAAGGUGUUGCAUUUUUUCCUUUACAUAUCGGGGACCAUGUCUUUAUUGAGGAAGAUUGUGUGGUCAACGCAGCUCAGAUUGGCUCUUACGUUCACGUUGGCAAGAACUGUGUGAUUGGGCGCCGGUGUGUAUUGAAAGAUUGCUGCAAAAUUCUUGACAACACAGUUUUACCCCCAGAAACUGUGGUGCCGCCAUUCACUGUCUUCUCCGGCUGCCCAGGGGAGACAACAUGAAAAGAGAAGCAAUUUCUGGAUGGAAACGCACAUUUGGAAUUUGAAAAAGCAGUUGCAUUGCCAGUGAGCCCUAGGUGAAAUGUCCAACGCCUAGAGGCUGAUGCCAGGCCAGCAUGAUGUACAUGGUUUUGAGUGGGUCAGACUGACAACAUGAAAAGGAAGCCUUGCUUGUCACUUGGACUUGGACCAUGGCUGUCUGGUACUGCAGUAUGACUUCCUGCAAGAAGCCAAAGAAAAGCAGCUGGCUCUCUUGGAAUCCCAGAUUCACUAAUUGUAAAAGUCUGCAUGUGACUAGCUCAAAACUGGCCUCUGUGAGCUGUUUCAGCCCCAGCAGGAGCUGUGCUGACCUGGAAGCAGACACAGGCUCCAUGAAUAGGACUCAGACCCUGGGACCGUUGAAGGUUUAGGACCCCUUCUGUAGAGCUCUCUUAUGUAUUAUGAAAACCUACAUCGUGGAUGCUGGCCGGACUGUCGGGCCACAUACACAUGCCCACAGGAGAAGGCUUAUUCUCUGAUGGGACCAUCUACAAUCAAGCUGCUGGUCAGCUCUUUGUCGCGAAUGCGGAGGCUACCUGCAUCCUGAUUUGUGAUCCCUGCCAAUGUUGGGGGAGGGCACAUCACAGGGACUGUGACCCCUCCACUGCUGUUGAAGAUCAGACUCUGGGCCUUCUCGGCAGGGAUGUCUCACUGGUGUUGACUUGUGUUCGGCUUUCUAGACUAGUUGCAGCUUAACCACAGUGGGCUGAUAGCCUGAUUCUAUUUCCUUACUGCACCCCCCCCCCCACCCCCAUACACACCUAGUAAGGUAGGUUCAUUAUUUGAAUAUAGCUGUCUCAAGAGGGAUUGAUCUAGGCUGUUCACUGAAUAAAAGGAAUGGGAGAUGAUGUACACCCAUUUGGAAACUUUUGAAAAUUCAAGCUUUCUGGGGCGCCUGGUCUGCCAGGGCUCCCAGAACAAAAUGCCUCAGACUGGGGGGCUUAAAUUAGAGAAAUAUGUGCUCUCACAGUUCUAGAGGCCUGCAGUCCAAGACCAAGGUAUUGGUGGGUUUGACUUCUCUCAAGCCCUCUCUCUUGGCUUAUAGAUUCUCACCGUGUCCUGACAUAGUCACCCCUCUGUGCUGUCUGUAUCCUGAUCUUCUCUUCUAAGGACACCAGUCAGUUUGGAUGAGGGCCCACCCUAGUGAUUCUAUUUUAAUUCAAUCAGCUCUUUGAAAGUCCUGUCUCCCAAUAGAGUCACAGUUCAGAGGUACUGGGGGUUAAGGCUUCAACAUAGGAAUGGCAGAGGGGACACAGUUCAACCCCUGUAACACAUCCUGACCAAUGCCUGAAUUUGUCUUUCUGGUUAAGUUAGAUAAAAAUGUUUAUCUGCAAAAAUGUAUUUGUGUCUCUUGCAUACAGCCUUUGCAGAUAAAAAGCCUGGAGGAGACUAAGAGGGGAUUGGAAGAAUGUCGUUGGGUUGCUGAACAGCGGGGCCUACAGAUUUUGUAGCAAUGAAAAGGCAAAGUCCUGGCACCUGGGGAGCCUGGGGGAAAUGGUGGGGGGCAUCUAUAAUCUUGGAAGCUUUCCCCUCUUCCUCACGGAAAGCUCCAGUGCUACCUUUCCAUGCUCUGGAGUGCUUUGAGUUCAGACCGCUGAGCCUGUGAUCACACCAGGCAGCCCUGACUCUGACGACAGAGGGGGCCAGGGCCCUGAACUUCCACACAGAAUGCACACUCAUGAGAUGGGGACACUUGUAUCACAGACAAGUAGAAUUGUUUGGAACUGACUGCCUUCAGGCAGCUCUUCCGAUACCAAGGGCUGGCUGGAUCUUCCAGACCGAACUGGAAGCCCUAGGGCAGGAGAACCGUGGUAAGAGGCUUACACUGGGGGCCCUGUUACCCUUCACUGCCUAACAUAUGUCUUGCUUGAGGUACCCUAACAUUGAAAACUCAUUUCCAGUGGGACCAUGUGCCCUCUGGGACUGUACUAAUGUCUUUGUGCCCUGUCACUACAUUGCCUCAGCCCUGGAAGGCUUCAGAUCAGCCUGAACUUACUGGCCACGGCUGUGCUGUACCUGAAUUGGUGCCUGGGGCCAGGUAAAAAUGAAUCAUACAGAAGUUUAGGGAGGAAGCCACUUGGCUUUCUAAGAUAGACUGUUGUUCUUUUUUUAAUUGAGGUAUAGUUGACAUAUAACAUUAUAUCUAAAGUAGACUUUGAUGGUUAAUGGGACCCCUGGCAGGCAUAACAGAUCAGCACUGCAGUUUGGGCUCAUCUUUUUGCAUGGGGUCCUACUGAUAAUACAUUUGCUGCAAAGAAGCAUGAGCCAAGGCCAAGGGCCAAGGGGAUGGACAGCGCAGAAGGGAGUUAACACAGUAAGCCUGAGACUGCUCUCCUUGUUUGCAAGGCUGACCCUUGGCUGGCAUCUGGGUAAUUGGAUUUUGAGUGGAUUCUCACCAUUACCUAAAUAGUAAGAAUGGCUCACUGUGCCUAAACUGUGCAGACAGUAUGGUUUAUGCUAAAUGCCUGCUUUUCUUCCAGGAAUCCAACAUUUUGGUAUGUGCCAGGCAGAGGGUGUCUACUUGGCCAGCCUAUUGGGCCAGCAGUAUAAAACCCUGGGCACUGAGCCUCUAAGGAGCUUCCCUGACAAAUAACACUUCACACUUGCUGUCAUAACUCAUUGCUGGAGGAAUUUAGUGUUCUUUGUGUCUAUACUGUGAGAAGUCUCUGGGAAGCUUGUACCUGGUUUCCUCUGGGCUUUGUGCUAUGCACCUUUUUCUGUUUGCUGAUUUUGCUUUGUAGCCUUUUGCUGUAAUAAAUUAUAGCCAGCUGUCAGUAAGACUAUAUGCUGAGUCUUGUGAGUCUCCUAACAAAUCAUCAAACUGGGGGGGGAGGGCACUUUGGGGACUCCCAAAACAGGAACAAGGGGGACUUCUGGGUGUUGGUAGUGUUCUCUUUCUCAGUCUGGUGUUGUUUAUGCGGGGUGGGUUCAAGUUGUGAAAAUUCAUUGAGCUGUACAGUUAUGAUAUAUAUGCUUUCUACAUAUCUUAAACUUCAAUAAAGAGAUUACACACCA
Molecule: RNA transcript, 3622 nt
Organism: Neofelis nebulosa (Clouded leopard)
Lineage: Eukaryota; Metazoa; Chordata; Mammalia; Carnivora; Felidae
Gene: DCTN5
Gene name: dynactin subunit 5
Exons: 7
Source: RefSeq, a predicted model, not a curated record